RNAcentral lists this ribosomal RNA (253 nucleotides) under uncultured bacterium. RNAcentral describes it as "partial 16S ribosomal RNA". It matches the Rfam family "Bacterial small subunit ribosomal RNA", at positions 524 to 776 of the family's 1533-position model. The record is from RNAcentral.
UACGUAGGUGGCAAGCGUUGUCCGGAUUUACUGGGCGUAAAGGGCGUGCAGGCGGUCUGUUAAGUCUAGGGUGAAAGCUCCCGGCUCAACUGGGAGAGGUCCUUGGAUACUGGCGGACUUGAGGGAGGUAGAGGAAAGUGGAAUUCCCGGUGUAGUGGUGAAAUGCGUAGAUAUCGGGAGGAACACCAGUGGCGAAGGCGACUACCUGGCCUGUUCUUGACGCUGAGGCGCGAAAGCUAGGGGAGCAAACGGG